CAUUCAUGAGACUGCAAUCUUUCGUAACCUCAUAAUCAAACUGGCAAGUACGGGAACAAUGUACCUGCAGCGAAAUGGAUAUCUGCUUUAAGAAAUGUGUGUUUUACUCUUUCCAGUGACAUGCCAAACGCAGAAGACCCAUAAAGGAAAGCAAUUCAUGGGUACCUGCAUCCACAAGCUGCCAGGCUGUAACUUUAAAGACAGAAAGUCCUGAAUUGUAAAAUGGAGAAAGCUGAUCAUCGACUUCAGGAAGCGAGGAGGAGGUCACGCCCCUAUCUGCAUCAAUGGUGCUGAGGUGAAGAUGGUCGAGAGCAUCAAGUUCCUGGGAGUGGACGAUCGACGACUUGUCCUGGCCACCCACACUGAUGUAAUGGUCAAGAAAGCACAACAAUACCACUACUCCCUCAGCAUGCUAAGGAAAUACAACAUGCCCAUAAAGAUCCAUGCUUAGCUUGAGAACUCUCAUUUCUCUUACUAGUUUGUACCUAUUUUUUUUGUACCUUAGAUGCUUUUCAUUGCACUUCUGAACUUGAGUACA
This is a long non-coding RNA of Chiloscyllium plagiosum (whitespotted bambooshark), 538 nucleotides long. RefSeq lists it as uncharacterized. Lineage: Eukaryota; Metazoa; Chordata; Chondrichthyes; Orectolobiformes; Hemiscylliidae. The record is from RefSeq and is a predicted model, not a curated record.